UACCAGCACCCCGAGUGGUCGGGACGUUUAUUGGGCCUAAAGCAUCCGUAGCCGGUUCUACAAGUCUUCCGUUAAAUCCACCUGCUUAACAGAUGGGCUGCGGAAGAUACUAUAGAGCUAGGAGGCGGGAGAGGCAAGCGGUACUCGAUGGGUAGGGGUAAAAUCCGUUGAUCCAUUGAAGGCCACCAGUGGCGAAGGCGGCUUGCCCGAACGCGCUCGACGGUGAGGGAUGAAAGCUGGGGGAGCAAACCGG
This 253-nucleotide ribosomal RNA is filed under the name uncultured bacterium. RNAcentral describes it as "partial 16S ribosomal RNA". It matches the Rfam family "Archaeal small subunit ribosomal RNA", at positions 474 to 727 of the family's 1478-position model. The record is from RNAcentral.